This 79-nucleotide small RNA is filed under the name Pediococcus claussenii. RNAcentral describes it as "SAM-III sequence". It matches the Rfam family "SAM-III riboswitch aptamer (SMK box)". Lineage: Bacteria; Bacillati; Bacillota; Bacilli; Lactobacillales; Lactobacillaceae. RNAcentral also lists the same sequence under 1 other name. The record is from RNAcentral.
ACUAGUUACAGUGUUCCCGAUAGGACUGAUUAUCCCUAGAUCCUUGUAACCGAAAAAAAUUGAGGGGGAAACUCAAAUG